CACCCAAGAAUCUUUAUACUCCACGAUAUAUGGGUUAUUAAGUUUUGCAAUCAAGUCCAUCUGCAUCACAAAUCAUGAAAUCAACCAUGUUUUCUUCAGAUCAAGUUAUGCUCAUAUUUUGAGCCAAAUACAUUGUUUAAUAGAAACAACUUCUCUUUGUUGGUGUGAAGAAGGAACAUCAUCUUUAGUUAUUUUUCCCCUCAAAAUGGUCAUGCUUGAAAGUUAAAUUCUUGGAUACUUGAAGACAAAGCUCUAAACCAAAACAGGAUGGUCAUAUUCUAGUUAUCAAUUCCAUCCUAAAAGUGAAAGCUGUGCGUAUGAUCAUCAAUAUUAAACAUCCAGCAUAUUCCAAAGGCAGAAGAAGUUUCAACAAUGUAAAUUAUUAAUAUUUCUACAGCAGCAAUCAGACCAGAGGAGAACAAGCGAUGUAUUAAAUUUGCCUACAUAAUAACAUCAGGAAAAAGUUAGCAGUAAAAUAGCAUAUUUUUGUAUUUUUGGUAAUUUAGCAUGAGCUUUCAUGGUUUCAACUUUCAAAAGCUUAGAUCAAGGUAUUGGAGAAGAGAUUAUAAGAAGAGGUCUACAAACAAACACACAUGAUAGAAGCCAUAGUUGGAUUUCUAGCAGAAUGCAGUAAUAAAUAAAUAAAUGAUAAUAAAUCCUAUAACCAAUAUCAUGGAAGUAUCUAAAACCCAGUUCCAAUCUUGUUCAAACAAAUAAAGAAAUGAACAACAAAUAAUUCAUUGCUCAAAGAAUAAUAAUAAUAAUAA
This 767-nucleotide unclassified non-coding RNA is filed under the name Hevea brasiliensis (rubber tree). Lineage: Eukaryota; Viridiplantae; Streptophyta; Magnoliopsida; Malpighiales; Euphorbiaceae. The record is from RNAcentral.